AUUGAACGCUGGCGGCAGGCCUAACACAUGCAAGUCGAGCGGAAGAAGGGUGCUUGCUCCUGGAUUCAGCGGCGGACGGGGGUGUAAUGCCUAUGAAUCUGCCUGGUAUGGGGGGAUAACGUCUUGAAACGGGCGCUACUACCGCAUACGUCCUGAGGGAGGAACAGGGGGAUCUUCGGACCUCACGCUAGCAGAUGAGCCUAGGUCGGGUUAGCUAGUUGGUGGGGGAAAUGGCUACGAAGGCGACGAUCCGUAACUGGUCUGAGAGGGUGAUCAGUCACUCUGGAAGUGAGAAACGGUCCAGACUCCUACGGGAGGCAGCAGUGGGGAAUAUUGGACAAUGGGCGAAAGCAUGAUCAAGCCACGCCGCGUGUGUGAAGAAGGUCUUCGGAUUGUAAAGCACUUUAAGUUGGGAAGAAGGGGAGUAAGUUAAUACCUCGCUGUUUUGACGUUACCAACAGAAUAAGCACCGGCUAACACCGU
Molecule: ribosomal RNA, 483 nt
Filed under: uncultured bacterium
Lineage: Bacteria
Description: partial 16S ribosomal RNA
Rfam family: Bacterial small subunit ribosomal RNA
Source: RNAcentral